RNAcentral lists this ribosomal RNA (279 nucleotides) under uncultured bacterium. RNAcentral's name for it is "partial 16S ribosomal RNA". It matches the Rfam family "Bacterial small subunit ribosomal RNA", at positions 506 to 784 of the family's 1533-position model. The record is from RNAcentral.
UGCCAGCCGCCGCGGUAAUACGGAGGGUGCAAGCGUUGUUCGGAAUUAUUGGGCGUAAAGCGUGCGUAGGUGGUUAUUUAAGUCAGAUGUGAAAGCCCCGGGCUCAACCUGGGAAAGGCGUUUGAAACUGGGUAGCUAGAGUAUGGUAGAGGGAAGUGGAAUUUCAGGUGUAGCGGUGAAAUGCGUAGAUAUCUGAAGGAACACCGGUGGCGAAGGCGGCUUCCUGGACUGAUACUGACACUGAGGUACGAAGGCGUGGGGAGCAAACAGGAUUAGAUA